This is a long non-coding RNA of Phyllopteryx taeniolatus (common seadragon), 993 nucleotides long. RefSeq lists it as uncharacterized. The transcript has 2 exons. Lineage: Eukaryota; Metazoa; Chordata; Actinopteri; Syngnathiformes; Syngnathidae. The record is from RefSeq and is a predicted model, not a curated record.
UUGCGACUGAGAGGAGGAGCCCAGGCAUGUAGCUCCGCCUCCAUCGGGUGGCGGAUUAUCACAGGCCCUGGUACGCUGUUUCCUCCCCGAUGUGCACGCAGACCAAACUCCCCAGCAGGACCACGACCCAUCUGUUCCUGUUCCUGUUGGCAGAAUGCAACAGACGGUCAUCCAAUUAAAAUGUCAACAUGACGAUAGAUCACAUUUAAUUCGACGGGUGUCCUCGCAUGCUUCUCCUUGGUAGCCCGGCUUACAGAUGCAGCUGCAGGACGUCCCGGCGAGCACGGGGAUCCCGUUGUGCCUGCAGCGGGCGCAGCGGCAAGAGCUGAACUGCUGCUCAUACUCCUCCAAUCCCCUCUGCAGGUUGGCCAGUCUGGCUCCAACUUGAUCAGAAACUGUGCUGAAUCUCACAAGCUCAUGGAUUGGCAUAAUCUGGCUCGGAGACAGAGGUUUCCCCGACGCUUCAGAAUAUCAAGUCGAGCAUUCGUCUUCUUCUUUUUUUAACAACACCAAUAUUGUGGACCACGUAAACAUAGAUGCAGAAAUCAUUUCUUGAAACAUCUAGUGACCUGUCACCCUCUAUAAUUUUCAUUGUUUUUGCAAUUGCUAUGACAUUAUGUUUCAUAACUGAUGUUUCCUUAGCAGGUUGUUUGAGCGUUUCUCAACACACACAUUUUAUUUUAUUUUUUUUUCAAUUUUAAAAUCUAGGGGUCUUACCUCAUGUUCAACGACUGUCGGGUUGUACUUAAGGCUUGCCCCCCACUUGCGAUAGGUGUCAGGAUCUCUGAUGACCAACAAGGCGCUGCUGGUGUCUGUGUAGCCGCCCUUCACCAGCGUGAGAACGUCUUUAAUCACAGCUGAACCACUGCUUGUGACUUUAGGUAAAAGUACAGAAAUAACCUUGUUGUUGUUGCUGUUGUUGUUUUUAAAUCAUUGUUGUUUUAAUUACAGCGACAAAAGCUCAAUAAAUGUUACAAUCCUAUGGUACUUGAA